UGUGUAUAUGCAUUUACAUGCAAUAUAUUGUAUAUGUGCAAAUUGUAAGAAUUCUACCUACUGUAACUGAAUAAUGAAAAAAAAGGAAACUGGCUAAUCUAAAAAAAAAAAAAAUCAAGCCUUUAAUAAUAAGAAAAGCCCUCUGUGCUCCGCCUGUCCCUCCCUCCACCCCCCACCCCACCACCGCCCAGCAACUGCUGACCUGGUCCGUCAUCAGCCUUACGGGCAGGGCGACCUGCUCUGUGUCUGUCACCUGGGACAGGUGUGUGCGACCUGGGUGGGCGGCGUGGCGUUUUUACGGCUCCGAGACUGCGCGCUGACAGAGUGCGCCACCAUCCUCGAGCCUGGGGGGACCCGCUUCUCCGGGGACGCGGCUUCCUCAGGCCGACCUCUGCUCCCGGCGGUGAGAGAGAACGCCUCCCUGUCUGGGCACCUGUGUGUGGCGAGGACCCUCUGGAGCGAAGCCUGAGGCGAGGGUCUGGUGCCCGCGGAUGGACGGGCGGGAAGUCACAGGGCUGGGGUGGCAGGAGGGGACUCCUGACAGCUGUCCUUCCCCCGGGGAGGGAGGGGGGCGGUAAAACCCACGCAUUUUCAGGCCAGCGGGUGUGCAUUUGGACACGUGGAUGGAGGGGGCCCAUGAACACGGGUGGGACAAGGCUGCUGUCUGCUGCAGCAGGAGGCCCCGUCUCGGUUCCCGCCCUGCCCGCCGCGGCUCUGACACCACGCGCUGCAGGGCGGAACCCAGAGGUUUCUUUUCACUCUUACUUUCCUGCCGCGCUCUCCCGUGGAGCUGAGUGCAAACUCAACCCUCGACCACCCCACUGGCGUGAACGCAGGGCAGGAUGUCCCCUCGGGCUGGCGUCCAGGGGGGUCACUCGCCUGCGUGGUAACAAAUCAGGCUGGCCGUGCUGCUUCCUUUGGGUGAGAGAGGCGGAUGUCGGAAUGCAGACAUGUCCUCCAGGUGUCCUCUCCCGGAACCAACUUUCUUCGACUUUGGUUUUGAACUUCAAGAAAAGGACAGCCCAGGAUAGAUACGGACGUAGAUGCAGGGGAGUCCCCAGGGGGGACCCUGUUUCAUCCGUGGAAAAUGCAAGUGGGGCCGCUACAAGUCCCCGGCGACUGAACGCCCACACCAGCUGCAGAAUCGACGAGGCCGUCCCUUCCUGGAGAUGCAGAUCACGGAGGUGGCUCCCCUCCCAUCCUGUCAGCUCCUGA
Molecule: long non-coding RNA, 1215 nt
Filed under: Camelus dromedarius (Arabian camel)
Lineage: Eukaryota; Metazoa; Chordata; Mammalia; Artiodactyla; Camelidae
Description: lncRNA (ENSCDRG00005017758.1)
Source: RNAcentral